This 2903-nucleotide ribosomal RNA is filed under the name Klebsiella pneumoniae. RNAcentral's name for it is "23S ribosomal RNA". It matches the Rfam family "Bacterial large subunit ribosomal RNA". Lineage: Bacteria; Pseudomonadati; Pseudomonadota; Gammaproteobacteria; Enterobacterales; Enterobacteriaceae. The record is from RNAcentral.
GGGUUGUGAGGUUAAGCGACUAAGCGUACACGGUGGAUGCCCGGCAGUCAGAGGCGAUGAAGGACGUGCUAAUCUGCGAAAAGCGUCGGUAAGGUGAUAUGAACCGUUAUAACCGACGAUGUCCGAAUGGGGAAACCCAGUGUGAUUCGUCACACUAUCGUUAACUGAAUACAUAGGUUAACGAGGCGAACCGGGGGAACUGAAACAUCUAAGUACCCCGAGGAAAAGAAAUCAACCGAGAUUCCCCCAGUAGCGGCGAGCGAACGGGGAGCAGCCCAGAGUCUGAAUCAGCUUGUGUGUUAGUGGAACGGUCUGGAAAGUCCGACGGUACAGGGUGAUAGUCCCGUACACCAAAAUGCACAGGUUGUGAACUCGAAGAGUAGGGCGGGACACGUGGUAUCCUGUCUGAAUAUGGGGGGACCAUCCUCCAAGGCUAAAUACUCCUGACUGACCGAUAGUGAACCAGUACCGUGAGGGAAAGGCGAAAAGAACCCCGGCGAGGGGAGUGAAAAGAACCUGAAACCGUGUACGUACAAGCAGUGGGAGCACCUUCGGGUGUGACUGCGUACCUUUUGUAUAAUGGGUCAGCGACUUAUAUUCUGUAGCAAGGUUAACCGUAUAGGGGAGCCGCAGGGAAACCGAGUCUUAACUGGGCGUUAAGUUGCAGGGUAUAGACCCGAAACCCGGUGAUCUAGCCAUGGGCAGGUUGAAGGUUGGGUAACACUAACUGGAGGACCGAACCGACUAAUGUUGAAAAAUUAGCGGAUGACUUGUGGCUGGGGUGAAAGGCCAAUCAAACCGGGAGAUAGCUGGUUCUCCCGAAAGCUAUUUAGGUAGCGCCUCGUGAACUCAUCUUCGGGGUAGAGCACUGUUUCGGCUAGGGGUCAUCCCGACUUACCAACCCGAUGCAAACUACGAAUACCGAAGAAUGUUAUCACGGGAGACACACGGCGGGUGCUAACGUCGUGAAGAGGGAAACAACCCAGACCGCCAGCUAAGGUCCCAAAGUCAUGGUUAAGUGGGAAACGAUGUGGGAAGGCACAGACAGCCAGGAUGUUGGCUUAGAAGCAGCCAUCAUUUAAAGAAAGCGUAAUAGCUCACUGGUCGAGUCGGCCUGCGCGGAAGAUGUAACGGGCUAAACCAUGCACCGAAGCUGCGGCAGCGACACUAUGUGUUGUUGGGUAGGGGAGCGUUCUGUAAGCCUGCGAAGGUGUGCUGUGAGGCAUGCUGGAGGUAUCAGAAGUGCGAAUGCUGACAUAAGUAACGAUAAAGCGGGUGAAAAGCCCGCUCGCCGGAAGACCAAGGGUUCCUGUCCAACGUUAAUCGGGGCAGGGUGAGUCGACCCUAAGGCGAGGCCGAAAGGCGUAGUCGAUGGGAAACAGGUUAAUAUUCCUGUACUUGGUGUUACUGCGAAGGGGACGGAGAAGGCUAUGUUAGCCGGGCGACGGUUGUCCCGGUUUAAGCAUGUAGGCUGAUUGUCCGUGCAAAUCCGGAUAAUCAAGGCUGAGGUGUGAUGACGAGGCACUACGGUGCUGAAGUAACAAAUGCCCUGCUUCCAGGAAAAGCCUCUAAGCAUCAGGUAACAUCAAAUCGUACCCCAAACCGACACAGGUGGUCAGGUAGAGAAUACCAAGGCGCUUGAGAGAACUCGGGUGAAGGAACUAGGCAAAAUGGUGCCGUAACUUCGGGAGAAGGCACGCUGGUGUGUAGGUGAAGUCCCUGCGGAUGGAGCUGAGACCAGUCGAAGAUACCAGCUGGCUGCAACUGUUUAUUAAAAACACAGCACUGUGCAAACACGAAAGUGGACGUAUACGGUGUGACGCCUGCCCGGUGCCGGAAGGUUAAUUGAUGGGGUUAUCCGUAAGGAGAAGCUCUUGAUCGAAGCCCGGUAAACGGCGGCCGUAACUAUAACGGUCCUAAGGUAGCGAAAUUCCUUGUCGGGUAAGUUCCGACCUGCACGAAUGGCGUAAUGAUGGCGAGGCUGUCUCCACCCGAGACUCAGUGAAAUUGAACUCGCUGUGAAGAUGCAGUGUACCCGCGGCAAGACGGAAAGACCCCGUGAACCUUUACUAUAGCUUGACACUGAACAUUGAGCCUUGAUGUGUAGGAUAGGUGGGAGGCUUUGAAGCGUGGACGCCAGUCUGCGUGGAGCCAACCUUGAAAUACCACCCUUUAAUGUUUGAUGUUCUAACGUUGGCCCCUUACCGGGGUUGCGGACAGUGUCUGGUGGGUAGUUUGACUGGGGCGGUCUCCUCCCAAAGCGUAACGGAGGAGCACGAAGGUUAGCUAAUCCUGGUCGGACAUCAGGAGGUUAGUGCAAUGGCAUAAGCUAGCUUGACUGCGAGCGUGACGGCGCGAGCAGGUGCGAAAGCAGGUCAUAGUGAUCCGGUGGUUCUGAAUGGAAGGGCCAUCGCUCAACGGAUAAAAGGUACUCCGGGGAUAACAGGCUGAUACCGCCCAAGAGUUCAUAUCGACGGCGGUGUUUGGCACCUCGAUGUCGGCUCAUCACAUCCUGGGGCUGAAGUAGGUCCCAAGGGUAUGGCUGUUCGCCAUUUAAAGUGGUACGCGAGCUGGGUUUAGAACGUCGUGAGACAGUUCGGUCCCUAUCUGCCGUGGGCGCUGGAGAAUUGAGGGGCUGCUCCUAGUACGAGAGGACCAGUGGACGCAUCACUGGUGUUCGGGUUGUCAUGCCAAUGGCACUGCCCGGUAGCUAAAUGCGGAAGAGAUAAGUGCUGAAAGCAUCUAAGCACGAAACUUGCCCCGAGAUGAGUUCUCCUGAGACUUUAAGUCUCCUGAAGGAACGUUGAAGACGACGACGUUGAUAGGCCGGGUGUGUAAGCGCAGCGAUGCGUUGAGCUAACCGGUACUAAUGAACCGUGAGGCUUAACCUUACAACGCCGAAG